GGUUCGAGUAUGAAUGAAGUUUUGAUAAUUUUUUUUAUUAAUUUUAUAAUGAAUUUUUUUUGUAAAUAAAAAAUUUUGUUUUUAUUUUUGCAAAGAUAAGUCUUCGUAAAUUCUUUUUAAUUUUUUUUUUUAAAAAAAAAAAUUAAAGUUUUCUAGGGUAGAAUUUUUUGUAUGUAUAUUUUUCUAUUAUUAGUUUAGAGAAUUACUUCGGAGUUAACAGAAAUUCAUAUUUUAUCUAGUUCUUAUAGUAAAGUAAGUUUUACAUCGGUGUUGUAUUUAUAUUGUUUGGGAGGUAGAAUGUUCAAUAUUUAAGACUGUUCUUCUUUUUAGUAUAACGUGAUAUUAGUUUAAUUCAUCGUGAGAUAGAAUUGUUUAUCUUGAAAAAUAAUUUUUUUUUUAGGUUUUUAGUACGAAAGGAAAAAUAGUUGAAGUUAAAAACUUUAUGAUGUACGG
Molecule: ribosomal RNA, 453 nt
Filed under: Dictyocaulus viviparus (bovine lungworm)
Lineage: Eukaryota; Metazoa; Nematoda; Chromadorea; Rhabditida; Metastrongylidae
Description: partial large subunit ribosomal RNA
Source: RNAcentral